Long non-coding RNA from Camelus dromedarius (Arabian camel), 2626 nucleotides. RefSeq lists it as uncharacterized. The transcript has 2 exons. NCBI's taxonomy places the organism in Eukaryota, Metazoa, Chordata, Mammalia, Artiodactyla, Camelidae. The record is from RefSeq and is a predicted model, not a curated record.
CUUGCUGAGUCCCGUACUCGAGCAUUAGGGGAACGCAGCCUGUCCUGUCUGCAGCAAAGCUAGGUUUCCGGUUUGUCCUCUGUCCUCUGACUUCUCUUGUAUUUUUGUCUGCGUAGGUGCCUAAACCUGUUUCCCAGUCAAACAGCAUUUCUUGUCCUUCAUGGAUUUUUCCAUUGAUUUUGAACUUAGCGAGCUCCUCUCACCCCCGCGUUGAAAUUCGUUACCUAUUAACCAUGUUUUCCAUCUAAUGGUUUUCCCGGUUUGGCUAAUACAAAGCUAGGCGUCUCUCGGUGCCUGCAGCAGAGGUCAGAUGCAAGCUGCUUUCUUCCCCUUGACUGCUUAGCCAACGUCCUCACACGAUUUGUGGAACAAUCCAUUCCUCGCUCAUUGGCUUACUCUGCUCCUUUUUACAAAAAGAGCUUUCCUGAGGCCUAAUUUACAUACCGUAAACUUCACCCACGUGAAGCACAUGAUGCAGUCGAUUGUGGUAAUCUGUAGGGUUCUGCAGCCACUCCCCCCAGGCCAGCUUUGGAGCGUCUCCAUCACUCCCGAAACACCCCCCGUGCCUGUCUGCGGUCAGCCCUCGCUGCCGCCGCUCCCCUGGGCACCCACGGGUCUGCUUUCUGUCCCCGUGGAUCCGUCUUUGCCGGGCAUUUCACGUCAGCGCCAUCUCCCACCUGUCGUCUUUGGCACCUGGCUUCUUUCACGGAGCAGGAUGGUUUUGAGGUUCACCUGUGUCGUGGCCUGUGUCAGCAGUCUGCUCAUCUCACCUGUGGAUGAAUCCUCCAUCGCAGGAGCACACCAGGCUCUACCUGUCCAUUCAUCCGUUGAUGGACAUUUGGGUGUUUCCACCUUUUGGCUGUUGUGAAUGAGGCUGCUCCGACCGUUGUCGUACAAAUCUUUGUGUGGGUGAACGUUUUUCUGCCUCUGGGGUGGACUCCUGGGAGUGAGAUGACUGGGUCAUAUGAUAAAGUGAAAACCACCGGGCUGUUUUCCAGAAUGUCGGCUCCAUGUUGCCUGCCUGUCAGACUCGGCCUCCUCACCACCACUUGUUACCGCACGCCUUUUAAAACAUUUGCCUCUGUUCCGUUUUUAUAUUUUCAGUUGGUAUGUUUGCCAGCCUUUUUCAGGCUGUGCUUUAAGAGUAGCUAUGUUUUUAAUUCCUUCCAAAGUGAGGCGAACGCAGGCUGCUGCCUCCCUGCUUAAUACAUCUUUAUCUCAGGUUAUGGAAACUCCAAUGAAGGUUUAUUUCCCUGCAAAUAGUUUUUAAAAAUUAAAUAUUUACUUUUCCAAACUCCCAAACAAAUCUCGCAUUCAGAGCCAAGUAAAUGUUGGCUGUGAUUUUCGAGCUUCCUUCUUUGGGCUUUGGAGAUGAUAAAAGCACCAGGAAAGUCUCCGAGUCCUUGAGACUCCCUUCAUCUUAAGGUCCUUUGGGACACUGGGGCCUGAGCAAGGCUUUUCUCCUCGUUAAUCAUUCGGGGGGGUGUGUUCUUCAUCAAGGACUUUGCUCUGUGACCUUUACCGCGGCUUUGGCUCUGUCUUCAGGAGCCUCUGGCCGUUCAAACGGGACCCGGGAGGCCGGUGUCCACGUGGAGAUCCGGGGCGCCCUGUCUGCCCGCUGACCCGGUGCCCCCAGCUCACCGCCGGCUCUCGGCAUCUGCUGGGCAGGCCUCGCGCACGCUCGGGCACUGCGUCCUUGGGAACACCGGCCUCUCCAGGGCGGAAUGGGGCUUUUUGCUCUGCGCUGCUCCUCCCGCGCUCCGCGCCACCUGACUGGAAGAAUUAGGCUGAUCUUUAUUUCUGCAAAGCUCCUGUGGAGGCCAGGCAGACGGACCGCCGUCUCCGAACGCUCGCCUUCAGCGUUGCCUGCUUUGCUUUCUGAAUGUGCUCCUCUGCCGAACGAAAGUUCUGAACUGCAGUGCAGCCGAGGCCGCUCAGUGUUUCCCUCGACGGCUGUUGCUUUUCACGCCCGGUUUGUGAAGCCCUUGCCGAGCGGAAGUCCUGAAGGCGGUCGGCAUCACUGCUUAAACCCCUACCGUCUGGCCUUUUACGCAGGGCUUCUCCGCGCCCCGGACUGGGGCGGACACAGCCCACGGCUCACGUUUGGUCCCAGGUCUCACCGUGGCUCCCUGGGAGCGUCCCCUGCGCUGCAGCACCAUCCUCCUCAGAAACCGAGGGUCGUGUUUGUACGACGUCACCCUGAGCUUUCUAGUCUCUUCCAUCGGCCCGUUUUCUUUCAGUCCUUGAGCUGAUGUCGCACUGGCUUCCUUCUGAGCCUUUGUAAUAAAUCUCGGUAGAAUGAGGUCCCGCAGAGGAAGUCCUUCCACCUUCAAGUGUCAUGGCUCCUCUGUUUCCAUGAAUUUUAGAUUCAGCUUGUCAAGUUUCACACACACACACGUUGGCUAUUUGAGAGAGUUUGAGAUUUGCAGAUGAUAACCACUAUAUAUAAAAAAAGAGAAAAACCAAAUUUCUUCUGUACAGCACAGGGAACUAUAUUCAAUAUCUUGUAAUAACUUUUAAUGAAAAGAAACAAAUUUAUGUAUGUAUGUGCAUGACUGGUGCUGUACACCAGAGAUGGACACUUUGUAACUGACUGUACCUCAAUAAAAAAGGAAAAGUGAAAAAA